UAAUCCCGCAAGGGGAAAUUACAGUGAUGGCUCGCUGUUCUUGCUCAGUUCAUGUUCUGGUUUCUUUACCUAAUAUGAUGUUGAUGUUAAAUAUUUAAUAAACUUCUUUUAUUAUUCUAUGGCUUAAAGGAACUCAGGGUAACUGUCGUUUCAUGCUUGUGCUUCAUGUUUCUUUCACAAUGUCAAAUUCCUGUUACUCAGUCAAUGUGAUGUCACUAGGGAUUUGUUACCUGACCCCAUCUGAAGGCAGCGUGUUACAUCAUCAAUGAAGUCGAGGUAUGUUGUCUCUGUGAGAUCAUAAAUGAUGAUGUCUCACAUAAACUGUGACAUCAUCAGUGACAUCACAGAGUAUCGUCAUGAGGGUCUAUAAAAAAGACCCAUCAGGUUACUCCCAUCAGGUUGUUUUUUGACAAUGCCAGGCAGACGCAGACAGGCCGCUCGCCCCGUUCACAGACGUAGGAGGACCCGCAGGUCCACCCACGUACACAGACGUAGGAGAGUUGUCCGACGUAGACGCUAGGCAACGCCCAUAAACAUCCAUUUUUAGGGCUGGA
This is a long non-coding RNA of Etheostoma cragini (Arkansas darter), 554 nucleotides long. RefSeq lists it as uncharacterized. NCBI's taxonomy places the organism in Eukaryota, Metazoa, Chordata, Actinopteri, Perciformes, Percidae. The record is from RefSeq and is a predicted model, not a curated record. The transcript is spliced from 3 exons.